UGAAAAUUUUUGAAUAAAAUCGAGCGCUACCGUAAAAUUUUAGUAACCCUUCCCUGAAACUCAUUUAAGUUUUUGUACCGUUAGUGUUUUGUCCUUUUCUGAAGUUCAUGCCUUCUCUGGCUUAAUUUCAUUUAAUAUUGUUUAAUACAGUACAGUAAAGUGUUUUAUAAUAGUAGAGUGCCAUUUCUAAUACUUCAAUGUUACAUUGUUGAGAUACCUUUACUUGACUGAUUACCUUUUGUUAAUACAAUUUCACAAAUUUAGUAUUGCAUUGCUUAUAUGACUAUUUGGAUUUAUAAUUUAUCGAUUGUGGGUAUGAAUAAACUUUUGGUUCACAAUCAACAAUAUAAUGUCUACUGUGUGGUACCCUUACAAGAUUAAUUGAAGAUCUUUUGACAAGAAUGCCUGACUUAAACCCCAUCAUCCAUCACUCAUUCCGUGUUACCUGUUGGAUGUGGAGGACCCCUACCACAAACUGAAAUAUUGUAAAGGUACCCUUCAGUACAUAAAUAGAGCACUGUAAAUAAUAUAGAUUAGUUACUGCUAUCUUCUCAAUGCAAUUUUGAAUACAUGUCAGGAACACCUGACUUAAACCCCCUCAUCCAUCACUCAUUCAGUGUUGCCUGUUGGAUAUGGAGGAAAUCUACACCACAAAGUGGAAUAUUGUAAAGGCACUCUUCAGUACACAUAAAAUAGAGCACGGUAAAUAAUAUAGAUUAGUUGCUGCUAUCUUCUUAACAUGAUUUUGAAUUUAUAAAUAGUAGUAGAGUAAAUGGCAGGAAUGCCUGACUUAAACCCCCUCAGCCAUCACUAAUUUCGAAUAAAUGUAUAGAUGCUGCAUUGAAUUCAUGAAGAUAUCAUUCGUUUUGAGCAAUCAUUCCCUUAGCUCCCCCGUUCUUUGAUUGUUUCAAAGAAGUAGUCAUACUACAAUAUGUAUUGUUUAGUUACAUCUAUUGCCAAGUUAUUUAAGCCAUUUCAUCUCUAGUAGAUUCAAAUAAUUUCUGUAAUUCUGAAUUAUGUUGCUGAACAAACUUGACAAUCACCAUUAGAAAGAAGGUGACAUGUUUAUGGACCCAGAACUAGCUAAGACAGUUCUCUGUGUACAUGCGGAUCACUUCAAGAAUCUUCCUGAUGAAAGAAGCUUGCGUGGUUUGUUAAAAGACUUCGAUCCGCUCACAGCCAUGCAGAUUAAGAAGAAUUUAGAUCGACAUUAUUUUGAUAACAAUGAAAACUCAAAUGCUUGGAACGAAAUGAGUGGAGUUGAACGACGCCCUGUUUAUUGAAACUUCAUCAAUCAACUUUUAAACUAUGCAGGGUUUCAAAAUGUACAAGGCAUCAUAUCAAAGAUUGCAUAUGCCCGAAAGAAGGACAAAUCCAAUUUGGCUUUCUGGAUGUAUGGAAAGCUCUCAACCUUCCAGAAAAGUACUUUUCAAAGGAACACUUAAAUCCCUCCGACAGACAAAGAUAACCUCUCUAGGCCCUCUGGUGGUGACGUAUAUAAGUGCUUUCUCAGUUCUUUCUCUCGCUUUUGGACAAAUCCAGUGAGUUAACUUUUUAUCAGUGGUCGACCGGGGGCAGGAUUCUGACCGGGGCCGGGGAGCCCCAAUAUAGCCGGGGCCGGGGCUGACCACUGAGAAUUGGCCGGGGCCGGGGUUUACCCCCGGCGAAUUGCCAAUUUUUGGCCGGGGCCGGGAAGGGCUAAGGGUUGUGAUUUUGGCCGGGGCACCGGUCGACCACUGCCUUUUAUGUCACGAUUUUUAAAACUUUAUUCAUAAGUUUAUGAAACAUCAAAACUUUGCAUGCUCUGCAUAAUGUAAACUCAGUCAUGCACUAGAGCACAGUUCACAUAUAACCUAAUCCACCCUAGGGGAGGGGGUUUGAAAUCGCUUGUGCUAGAGUGAUUUAUACUCAAUAGCUAUGUGAAAAGUGGCUCAAGGAGGGGAGACCGACGUAAACAAUUUUGAAUUGGUAGAAGUUAAGUUUAGGCUUUAAUGAAAAACUAUUUAAAGAAUAUCAUUCUUUUACCACAGACAUAAGACUUUGCCGUAGGGUAUACAAAAAUGUGACCAUUCAUCAAUUUUCAGAGUGCUGUAUCUGUACCCGAAUAGAAAUAAAGAUAAAAUAAAAAUUUUAAUGAAACAGUUUUCUUCCGCUCUGAAAGUGAACGAAUGACAAAACAGUCUAGAGAAUUCCUCGCCCUGCUGUAGAAGAUCAAUCCUGGGUUGUGCUCACCAAAGCAAACCUCUUUUUUGUGUAUUCAGUGUCUUAACUAUGUAAAAGACAACUAUAACAGGGUGAGUGGUUUCCUCCUGUUUUACUAACAUUUAAAAACAUUAUUAUUCAAAGGUAAAUAGACAGCGAGUAGUAAUUUUUAAUCCAUUUCUAUCGGAUUUGCAAACUUUUAAAAUGAUAUAACACUUGUACGAUCUCAAACUUAUGUGAUAUGAUACUGUUGAUAUAAAUGUGGGAAGUAAUAAAGUAUUUGCAGGUGUACAGUGCUGUUUCUGAAAUUGACGAAUCCUCUUGUGAUGAAGAUUGAAGAAGCUAUUGCCAUCCAAGUGGAAAAAGUCCCGCCUUUGUCACCCUCCUCGAAUAGAACUAAGAAAAUGUGGAGACUAUCUUCAUUUAGUUCCCAAUCAAGUGGACCAGAUGUUGAUUUGUUUGAAAUGGACUGAGACUUGUGUUUCAUAUGCCAGGUUGAACAGACGUUAGAAACGAAAAAGGAUAGUAUGAUUCAAGGAAAAGAUAAAAGUUUCUUCGUCGAUUUCGCAACAUACUAUCUGUGGACAUCUACAGAAAUCGUCAGGAUCUGUGCAACAUCGAUCUUAAUCCUGAUUCGCACAUGAACAAGUGCCCUGUUCUUAACCCUGAGAGUCUCGGAAAAUAUCUCUAUAGCAAGCUAGGUAGAUAUCACAAAACAUGUCGUUUGAGGUACAGCAACUCGAGGGUGAAACAAUUGAAGGGUAAAUUAUCUGAAGCUGUAAGUUUAAAACCUGUCUCUAAGGCAGGUUUUAAAAUGGAAAGACACGUGUCCACGCACGACAACACCAAUGCUGCAUUAAUGAGUGCAGGUAUUGACGCUGUACGGACCUUUUAACUGGAGCAGGAGAAUGUUUUACCAGAACUGUACCUCGUGUCUGACCCGAAGCUUAAGUACAAUGACUAUGUGACGUCUAAUUUAUCUGAGAACGCUGCAAACUCCAGCAAUGUUUAAUCUGAUCACAUCAGUUUUCAGAAAGACAAUGUCGGUAAGACGAGUUUGUUUCGACAGCAGAAUCGUAUCUAAUCUUGCCGCAACAAUAGAUGCGGAUAGAGAUGAUAACACUUUAACAAAGACAGCACUCAUAAUAUAAAGGAGAUCAGAAAAGAAAUCUUUCAAUGUAGAAACGAAUUCUAUCAGCUAUGUUCGAUUUACUGAUCGGUGGCAUCUGUAGAAAUAUAGUGUUUAUGUGGAUUAAUCUGUUAAAGCAGGGCUAUUGUAUCAUUUUAACAUUAACUUUGCAUAGUGAUGAUACUUUUAUUGUGUCUCUUGUGAUUAUCUAUUUCUACAGUGUUACGGUACCACGAGGUUUCUGGCGCAGUAAUGCGCUUUUGAGCAAUAUACGUCACGCGCCGCAACCGAAUCAGAUUUAAGUGCACUUUUUUCAUUGUAAACACUACAUACGACGCGCAACACGUUCUACGAGGUCGAAA
Bolinopsis microptera is the source of this 3693-nucleotide long non-coding RNA. RefSeq lists it as uncharacterized. The transcript has 5 exons. NCBI's taxonomy places the organism in Eukaryota, Metazoa, Ctenophora, Tentaculata, Lobata, Bolinopsidae. The record is from RefSeq and is a predicted model, not a curated record.